CUGCUGCCUCCCGUAGGAGUCUGGGCCGUGUCUCAGUCCCAGUGUGGCCGGUCACCCUCUCAGGUCGGCUACUGAUCGUCGGCUUGGUGGGCCGUUACCCCGCCAACUACCUAAUCAGACGCGGGUCCAUCCCAUACCACCGGAGUUUUGACCCCUGUGCCAUGCGGCACUGUGGUCUUAUGCGGUAUUAGCACUCAUUUCUGAAUGUUAUCCCCCGGUAUGGGGCAGGUUACCCACGCGUUACUCACCCGUCCGCCACU
RNAcentral lists this ribosomal RNA (260 nucleotides) under uncultured bacterium. Its description in RNAcentral is "partial 16S ribosomal RNA". The record is from RNAcentral.